This is a long non-coding RNA of Clupea harengus (Atlantic herring), 449 nucleotides long. Lineage: Eukaryota; Metazoa; Chordata; Actinopteri; Clupeiformes; Clupeidae. The record is from Ensembl.
UUGUAAAGGACACUUAUGCUAUGUAUUUUUCAUUUUUCUAAACUUUAUACUUUUUAAAAUGUUAAAUAAAAACUAAUACAAUUUCUCCCAUUGACUUACAUUGGGCCAUUAUGACAUCAUAAUAGGGUCUUUAAACUGGCUUGCACCUGUGCUUCACUGACACCUGCGCCAAGGUUCCAAGGCUCCUCUUCUCUCUGUCCCUCUCCAUUCAACUGUAUAACUAGGAAUAUUAUUCUUUCCUUCUUCCACUCUUCUUCUUUCGUUCUUCCACUCUUCUUUCCUUCUUCCACUCUCCUUUCCUUUCUUCUUUCCUUCUUCCACUCUUCUUUCCUUCUUCUACUCUUCUUUUCUUUCUUCACUCUUCUUUCCUUCUUCCACUCUUCUUUCCUUCUUCUACUCUUCUUUCCUUUCUUCACUCUUCUUUCUUUUCUUCUUUCCUUCUUCCACUC